Molecule: ribosomal RNA, 392 nt
Filed under: uncultured bacterium
Lineage: Bacteria
Description: partial 16S ribosomal RNA
Rfam family: Bacterial small subunit ribosomal RNA
Source: RNAcentral
AUACGGAAGGUCCGGGCGUUGUCCGGAUUUAUUGGGUUUAAAGGGAGCGCAGGCGGAGAUGCAAGCGUGACGUCAAAUUUCGGGGCUCAACCCCGUCUCGCGUCGCGAACUGCGUCCCUUGGUUGCGGGAAGGGGAGGCGGAACUCGUGGUGUAGCGGUGAAAUGCAUAGAUAUCACGAGGAACUCCGAUUGCGCAGGCAGCUUACUAAACUACUACUGACGCUCAGGCACGAAGGCGUGGGGAUCAAACAGGAUUAGAUACCCUGGUAGUCCACGCAGUAAACGAUGAUUACUAGCUGUUUGCGAUACAAUGUAAGCGGCUGAGCGAAAGCGUUAAGUAAUCCACCUGGGGAGUACGUUCGCAAGAAUGAAACUUAAAGGAAUUGACGGGG